Molecule: ribosomal RNA, 255 nt
Filed under: uncultured bacterium
Lineage: Bacteria
Description: partial 16S ribosomal RNA
Rfam family: Bacterial small subunit ribosomal RNA
Source: RNAcentral
GACGGAGGAUGCAAGCGUUAUCCGGAAUGAUUGGGCGUAAAGCGUCCGCAGGUGGCAGUUCAAGUCUGCUGUCAAAGACCGGGGCUUAACUUCGGAAAGGCAGUGGAAACUGAACAGCUAGAGUUCGGCAGGGGAGACUGGAAUUCCUGGUGUAGCGGUGGAAUGCGCAGAUAUCAGGAGGAACACCGAUGGCGAAGGCAGAUCUCUGGGCCGUAACUGACGGCCUGAGGAGCGAAAGCAUGGGGAGCGAACAGG